RNAcentral lists this ribosomal RNA (504 nucleotides) under uncultured bacterium. Its description in RNAcentral is "partial 16S ribosomal RNA". It matches the Rfam family "Bacterial small subunit ribosomal RNA", at positions 29 to 523 of the family's 1533-position model. The record is from RNAcentral.
AUUGAACGCUGGCGGCAGGCCUAACACAUGCAAGUCGAACGGUAGCACAGAGAGCUUGCUCUCGGGUGACGAGUGGCGGACGGGUGAGUAAUGUCUGGGAAACUGCCCGAUGGAGGGGGAUAACUACUGGAAACGGUAGCUAAUACCGCAUAACGUCGCAAGACCAAAGUGGGGGACCUUCGGGCCUCACACCAUCGGAUGUGCCCAGAUGGGAUUAGCUAGUAGGUGGGGUAAUGGCUCACCUAGGCGACGAUCCCUAGCUGGUCUGAGAGGAUGACCAGCCACACUGGAACGGAGACACGGUCCAGACUCCUACGGGAGGCAGCAGUGGGGAAUAUUGCACAAUGGGCGCAAGCCUGAUGCAGCCAUGCCGCGUGUAUGAAGAAGGCCUUCGGGUUGUAAAGUACUUUCAGCGGGGAGGAAGGCGGUGAAGUUAAUAACUUCACCGAUUGACGUUACCCGCAGAAGAAGCACCGGCUAACUCCGUGCCAGCCGCCGCCGCGG